GAUGAACGCUGGCGGCGUGCUUAACACAUGCAAGUCGAACGGAAAGGCCAGUGCUUGCCCUGGUACUCGAGUGGCGAACGGGUGAGUAACACGUGGGUGAUCUGCCCUGCACUUCGGGAUAAGCCUGGGAAACUGGGUCUAAUACCGGAUAGGACAAUGGUUUGGAUGCCGUUGUGGAAAGUUUUUUCGGUGUGGGAUGAGCGCGCGGCCUAUCAGCUUGUUGGUGGGGUAAUGGCCUACCAAGGCGUCGACGGGUAGCCUGCCUGAGAGGGUGUACGGCCACAUUGGGACUGAGAUACGGCCCAGACUCCUACGGGCGGCAGCAGUGGGGAAUAUUGCACAAUGGGCGCAAGCCUGAUGCAGCGACGCCGCGUGGGGGAUGACGGCCUUCGGGUUGUAAACUCCUUUCGCUAGGGACGAAGCGUAUUUGUGACGGUACCUGGAGAAGAAGCACCGGCUAACUACGUG
RNAcentral lists this ribosomal RNA (468 nucleotides) under uncultured bacterium. RNAcentral's name for it is "partial 16S ribosomal RNA". It matches the Rfam family "Bacterial small subunit ribosomal RNA", at positions 28 to 507 of the family's 1533-position model. The record is from RNAcentral.